CGCCGGUGGGGCCGGGCCGGGCCGGGGGCGCCGGGCAGGCCUCGGUCCCCGCUCGCUCCGGCCUCGGUGCCCGCUCGCUCCGGCCUCGGUGCCCCCUCGUCCCUGGGCGGAAGCGGGAGGGAUCCGCUCCGGGGCCCGGAACGUGACCGGCCAGACCCUCGCCCUCAGCUGCUCCUUCUCCACGGGAAAACCCAAGGGACACACAGGGAGCAGAAGCAAUUUCCUGGUGUAAUGGUUUAUCACCUAAUCAGCACCCAGGGAUUAGUGCUCCAGAAGAGGGACAUUAUCACAUCCUGUAUUUCUCUUUGGCAUUCUCUUUCAGAAUGCAGAUGUGCUAAAUGGAAAAAAAGCCCUACAAUGUGUAUCAACCUCUAUCUGCAAAUGAAAUGCAAUACUUUCAGAUGUAUUCCCAGCAUUGUAAUAAAAACACACUAGAACCAUAA
This is a non-coding RNA of Taeniopygia guttata (zebra finch), 443 nucleotides long. Lineage: Eukaryota; Metazoa; Chordata; Aves; Passeriformes; Estrildidae. The record is from RefSeq and is a predicted model, not a curated record.